RNAcentral lists this long non-coding RNA (3656 nucleotides) under Sus scrofa (pig). Its description in RNAcentral is "lncRNA (ENSSSCG00050003755.1)". Lineage: Eukaryota; Metazoa; Chordata; Mammalia; Artiodactyla; Suidae. The record is from RNAcentral.
AUCCAGUGGCCAUUCCGCUCUUCCCCCAGGGCGCCCCGAGUCUGGUAGUCAUUAAAAAGACAUAGCCCUUUAAAAGUGUGACACCGUCUUCCUUAAAGAGCCUGAAGCAAUGGCCCCAAAGAUAUCAGGACUCCACCUCUAGGACCUGAGACGGUGACCUUAUUGGGGAAAGAACUUUUUGUAGACUGUUGCCUUCAGAGCUCAGCCUUGCCUGAAAUCCAUCCACUCAAGAGCAGGUUCGCAAAGGGGAAAUGAAGGUCCACGGCAGAACGUGAAGAGGAAAAUGCUUUUCCAAACCCAGGCUGAGGGCUGAGCCACGAGGUUGCCUGAUCUUCCCAGGUCCUCGUUCCUGAAUCCUGAUGGCCCAGGCAGUGCCUCUCCACCCAGCCCCCCGCCUGCCCAGACUCUGCCUCGGAACUAGAAGACUCUUCAAAAGAAAAAAGGGUGAAGUGAGCCAUGAGCAGAAGCUGGAAACAAAUAGUCCCCCUUUAGAUGUAGGUCAGCACUUCUCCACUGGCCCAACGCACACCAUCCCCCGUCCAGGAGGCGUGUCUGUUCAGCGGCACUAGCACCUCGCCCCAGCCCCUGCCGAAGGCAUCAAGCGUGGGCGAGGUCAGCCUCAAAAAUGAUUCUCCAAACGUGUUGGAUCUCCAGAUGCCUUCCGCGUAGAAAGCUAGGAUUCAUUUAUGAACAACCCGAAUCCGUUUCCCUGUAGGAGCAAAGGAGAAGAACGUGUCGUCUCCUCCAGACGGGGACACGGAGAAGGGGGUGGCGUGAGGUCCCCUCUCAGAGGGGACGCGGGUCCUUUGGAAGAUGUGUCCUCGCCGUCUCCAGGGAACUGGAUGGGUGUCAGCUCCUCUGAAGCGAGUAUGCUGGUAAACGGAGAAUUUUCAAAGAAUUGGCUUUUUAAACAUUCAGUACCCAACGCGUUGAUGGACAAGUUCCACGUCAACUCAGUUGAAACGGCCAGCCUCCGACUGUCGGGUUGCUUGAUGUGACAAACCCAGCUCUAUGGCUGUGGCUGUAGACGGAGACGCUCACGUAAUGUGGGGCACGUGUUGGAUGCGGUGACUCUGCCACCUCUCGGUCUUUCGUAUCUGUCAGUCGUGGGUCACAUCUAUCCGUCUUUCAUCUCCCCAUGGCUCUAUCCCAUCUCCACUCUUCCAUCGCUCAGGAGCUGUGUAUCUAAUAUCAUCUGUCCACCCCCCGUCAUUGAUCUGUUCCAACAUCUCUCUACCACUGAUUGCAUCUGUAAGUCAUUCUUCUAUUUAUCAUUUUAUCUAUGUAUAUGUCGGUCCAUCCGGCCAAAAUAUCGAUUUAUCUAUCAACUGUCUGUCCAUCCAUCUUAUCUGUCUACCUAUUUCUCUAUCUUUUUAUCCACCUAUCUAUCCAUCUGUCCAUCUCUAUCUAUAAUCGCUGUAUCCAUCUGUAUGUCUGUCUGUCUGUCCAUCCAUCCGUCAUAUCUUUCUGUCUGUCUCUCUUUCUAUCAUUGAUGUCUACUGUCUAUCAUCUAUGUCUGUCUGUCUGUCUAUCUGUCAUCUAUCUGUGUCUAUCAUCGAUCCAAUCAAUCAUUCACAGACAAUGCCCUCACUCAUUCUGCCGUUACCCUCGUUCUUCCAAUGAAAACCCACCUGAUGAAACCCUUAGUUACCUGAGGAAGGGCUGCAGCCCUAGAGAUGGAGCUGAGACGUGGCCCCUCCUACCUCCUUCCCGAAAGUGAUGCGACUCCCGGCCAGUUACAUUUGACCUGCUCCAGGGUCGUGGUUACACGUAUUCGCUCGCAUACACAACCGUAGUCAUUGGUGUCGUGGGUCCAUAGACUACUCUGCGGUAACUCAGGCAGCGUUGUCAGUUUGGGUAUUUCAUUUUAUUCCCCCUUAUUAUUGUUGUGUAGAGUCCUUGCAGACACCUGUUGAGCACACGUUUGAAUGUGGGAAACACUUCUCUCUGAUGGAGCACAGGAGGUGAAUUGCAUAUGUGUGAGCUUCCUAGACACAAGCAUCCUUGGACACUGGGGAUUUACAGGAUCGGCGGCUUCUGGGGAAGCUCAUAGGAGCCCACAUCAGUGGGCUGUUACCUGGGACCAGAGCUUCUCCUCAUGGCUGAAUCAGGUCCCGUGUUUUGCUAUGGACGUAGUCGUCUGUUACCUCGGAUGUGUGUGAACUAUUUGACCUGCUCUGGAUGCUGCUCACACCACAAUUCAUGUUGCCGUCACUCCCUCCAGGAGACAAGAUGCAAAGGAAUCGGUUUCACCGUGGGACACAGCCCAGGGCUCAGAGCUCCAUUGCCAUGGCAGAUAAAAAUCCAGAGAGGAAACAUCGGGGCUGUACCCGUGGACUCAAGGACUGAGCUCUGCCCUGCGGUGGGCACGCAGAUGGACAUAGCCUCGACGGGUGGACGUGGUUGUCGGCGCGUGACAUGAGGAGCCAGAGACAUGCAGAAUGAGGUUUCUCCUGAGCAGGAAGCGUGCCCGUGAGCAACCAGCUGAGAAGUCGACCCAUCACGUGUGAAAAUGAGAAAGUCCCGUCGAGGCCAGACCCCGCUGUCCUUGGAAAGGUGUUGAGUUGAUUUCUUCCAAGGGGUGAGGGAGCGAUCCAGGUUCCCUGCCCAGCGGGUGCUCUGCCUCCCUAGUUCCGGAGGCUGGACUUUCAAGACCUGCUGAGAGCCAUCUUCCUGGUUCAUCAAUGGACGUUCUCUCCAUCAGGACAGAGACAAGACAGUUCCUUCUUACCCGUGAGAGAUACAUGUAUUGUCCAUGACUCCGCAGGAAAUUGAUUUCCCCAACCCGAUGCAGAGAUGGGGAAGGGGGGAGCCAAAAGAAGGGUUUGCUGUCCAUCUUUGGCGCCAGAGGAGAAGUCAGCCCCCAGAAGCUAAGCACUGAGAAGUCCAGUCUUCCACAUCCAGGGGUUUCCAGAUUCCCACUCGUGUAAGAAAUGCAGCGUGAUGUCCCAGUUUUCGUGCUUUUCUUGAGAUGUGGUCCCCUUGGAGGAGCUUCCCCCGCCAGGAUGGAAUUUCAGAGCUUUCGGCUCGAGAAGAAGGGAAAUGCCCCGAACAGCCACCCCCCAGGCCCCUUGUGGCCGCUGAGAAGUUGGGGAGGAUGCAGCCAUAAAGGAGGAUGUGAAAAGUAGGCGCGAUCGCAAGGCACGAAUCUCGGAAUCUUCGUGUUUCAUCGGGAAGGCAGAGGAGGAAGGAAUCUGCGAGGUGCAGCCGCCUCUUCUGACCUCAGGAUGGACGGAGAGGGCGUGAAGGACCCGUCAGUGACCAGCUGUUGCACAGAGAGCCCAGGGGAAGGGGGUGCCCUGGCGGGCACAUGGGAACCAAUGCUGCGGCUCACGAGAAGUUGGAGGAACAAACUGCUUUGUCCCAGGAGAAGAGGAGCAGGAUGGAACAGAUGCCCGCUGUAAUCGUGGGCGGAACCGGAGGGACGGACGCAACGCUUGGCGCUUCCGAUUCUGACAGUUGCUGACCUCGCGGGAGAUGGAUGCAGGAGGGUCCAGAUGUUCCGAUGAGGAAACGGAGGCCACUAAGUGUUGUGUAACGUCCCAAGAGGCCCCAGCUCUGAAGCGGUGGAGUCAGAAUGGGUUGCUUAACAGCCACCCCCACCCUGGGCUCGGAAGACGUCCACACCCAGCCGAAGAAGUUCCAGGGCCAGGUAU